Molecule: unclassified non-coding RNA, 345 nt
Filed under: soil metagenome
Description: partial contains 5.8S ribosomal RNA, internal transcribed spacer 2, and large subunit ribosomal RNA
Rfam family: 5.8S ribosomal RNA (bases 1-120)
Source: RNAcentral
GAUGAAGAACGCAGCGAAAUGCGAUACGUAAUGUGAAUUGCAGAGUUCAGUGAAUCAUCGAGUCUUUGAACGCACAUUGCGCCCCCUGGUAUUCCGGGGGGCAUGCCUGUCCGAGCGUCAUUGCUGCCCUCAAGCACGGCUUGUGUGUUGGGCCUCCGUCCUCCUCCCGGGGGACGGGCCCGAAAGGCAGCGGCGGCACCGCGUCCGGUCCUCGAGCGUAUGGGGCUUCGUCACCCGCUCUUGUAGGCCCGGCCGGCGCUUGCCGACACAUCAAUCUUUUUUCCAGGUUGACCUCGGAUCAGGUAGGGAUACCCGCUGAACUUAAGCAUAUCAAUAAGCGGAGGA